UAAGGAAUAUUGGACAAUGGACGCAAGUCUGAUCCAGCCAUGCCGCGUGAAGGAUGAAUGCCCUCUGGGUUGUAAACUUCUUUUAUAGGGGAAGAAAGAUACUUUUUUUAAGGUAGUUGACGGUACCCUAUGAAUAAGCACCGGCUAACUCCGUGCCAGCAGCCGCGGUAAUACGGAGGGUGCAAGCGUUAUCCGGAUUUACUGGGUUUAAAGGGUGCGUAGGCGGGCAUGUAAGUCAGUGGUGAAAUACCGGAGCUUAACUUCGGAACUGCCAUUGAUACUAUAUGUCUUGAAUAUUGUGGAGGUAAGCGGAAUAUGUCAUGUAGCGGUGAAAUGCAUAGAUAUGACACAGAACACCGAUUGCGGAGGCAGCUUGCUACGCAAAUAUUGACGCUGAGGCACGAAAGCGUGG
RNAcentral lists this ribosomal RNA (412 nucleotides) under uncultured bacterium. RNAcentral's name for it is "bacterial SSU rRNA". It matches the Rfam family "Bacterial small subunit ribosomal RNA", at positions 355 to 764 of the family's 1533-position model. The record is from RNAcentral.